This 253-nucleotide ribosomal RNA is filed under the name uncultured bacterium. RNAcentral's name for it is "partial 16S ribosomal RNA". It matches the Rfam family "Archaeal small subunit ribosomal RNA", at positions 474 to 727 of the family's 1478-position model. The record is from RNAcentral.
UACCAGCACCCCGAGUGGUCGGGACGAUUAUUGGGCCUAAAGCAUCCGUAGCCGGUUCUACAAGUCUUCCGUUAAAUCCACCUGCUUAACAGAUGGGCUGCGGAGGAUACUAUGGAGCUAGGAGGCGGGAGAGGCAAGCGGUACUUAGUGGGUAGGGGUAAAAUCCGUUGAUCCAAUGAAGACCACCAGUGGCGAAGGCGGCUUGCCAGAACGCACUCGACGGUGAGGGAUGAAAGCUGGGGGAGCAAACCGG